AUUGAGGCACUUUUAGACUCGAGGUCGACCAACCAUCAAGGGUAAGACUGUUCAACUCGUAUAAUUUGCAUUUACAUUUAUGCCAUUGAUUUCAAUAUUAAAAUGUUUUCUCAAUAAUAUUUGCCAUAGUUGAACGAGUCAUAUUUUUAUGGGCUAAUUUUUACAAGUCAUGUCUCGUAUAUAACCGUACAAUUCUUUGUAAUGUGUUUCACAAGAUUUUGAUUGGAAUCGGUGAAUUAGAAACUGAAGAAGACAACUACCUGGUUGAGAAACAGCUAUCUUGAAAGCCUUAGUCCGAGAUCUCUGAUCAUUCCCAUCCAUGCAUAAUUUGAUAACUAUCUUUUGCUGGUCCAAUUUAUGAAAUUAUGUCAGAUAAUCACAUCUCAACCAAUACUACAAAAUAAGAAGUAAUACAAAGUACAUAUCGUAGAAUUAAAACUCAGAUUAAUUUUAUAUUUAAGAUUUAAGACAUGCAUACUUUCAUUUUACUAAUCUUGAUUGAGAACUUGGUUUGCAAUAUAACCAGUAGGGAAAUUUUUUGGAGUAUUU
Molecule: long non-coding RNA, 549 nt
Filed under: Nicotiana benthamiana
Lineage: Eukaryota; Viridiplantae; Streptophyta; Magnoliopsida; Solanales; Solanaceae
Description: long non-coding RNA (NBEN_LNC009249)
Source: RNAcentral